UACGUAGGGGGCGAGCGUUGUCCGGAUUUAUUGGGCGUAAAGAGCGUGUAGGCGGCCAGGUAGGUCUGCUGUGAAAACUCGAGGCUCAACCUCGAGACGUCGGCGGAAACCAUCUGGCUAGAGUCCGGAAGAGGAGAGUGGAAUUCCGAGUGUAGAGGUGAAAUUCGUAGAUAUUCGGAGGAACACCAGUGGCGAAGGCGGCUCACUGGUCCGGUACUGACGCUGAGACGCGAAAGCGUGGGGAGCGAACAGG
Molecule: ribosomal RNA, 253 nt
Filed under: uncultured bacterium
Lineage: Bacteria
Description: partial 16S ribosomal RNA
Rfam family: Bacterial small subunit ribosomal RNA
Source: RNAcentral